UGUUCUUCAAUUUUUUUUUCAUCUUUUUGCUUUUUUGCUUCCAUCUCUUUCAGUCAUAUACAUUAUUACAUUGUUGGGUUUUGGCUUGGUGGCUGUGGCAGCUGUUUUCGGCUUUACUUGGGUUUGUAUUAUGGAGGCUCAGCUAUCAAUCGCAAGUCGCUUUUGUUUGCACUCGAAUUCCUAUUUUGGAGCUCAACUCUUACUAGAUGAUGAAUGGUGAACGGCUUUGUUUAUUACUCGAUUUCUCGCAAGAUCUCAAAGUCAGCACUCCUCUUAUAUUAUGAAGGUAUCCAAGUGGUAUUAAAGGGUAUAAAGUGUAUGAUAUCAAUGCAAAUAAGUUUCCUGUAUCCAGGAACAUUGUUUUGCAUGAGCAUAAAUUUCCUUGCCAGAUAACACAAAAUAUCAUUAAUCAUCAUUCAUUUCUACAAACACCUGGUGUGUAUGAUUUUGAUUUUGAUAUUUAAACUCCUGACAUUGUAAAUUUUGCUCCAAAUCUUCAUUCUUCUUCUUAAAGAUCUCCAUGUACACUUAUUCCAUCAUCUGAAACUGGUUCUUCAUCAAAAUU
Molecule: non-coding RNA, 565 nt
Organism: Theobroma cacao (cacao)
Lineage: Eukaryota; Viridiplantae; Streptophyta; Magnoliopsida; Malvales; Malvaceae
Source: RefSeq, a predicted model, not a curated record